Molecule: RNase P RNA, 412 nt
Filed under: Candidatus Omnitrophota bacterium
Lineage: Bacteria; Pseudomonadati; Candidatus Omnitrophota
Description: Candidatus Omnitrophica bacterium (groundwater metagenome) RNase P RNA component class A
Rfam family: Bacterial RNase P class A
About the family: Ribonuclease P (RNase P) is a ubiquitous endoribonuclease, found in archaea, bacteria and eukarya as well as chloroplasts and mitochondria. Its best characterised activity is the generation of mature 5'-ends of tRNAs by cleaving the 5'-leader elements of precursor-tRNAs. Cellular RNase Ps are ribonucleoproteins.
Source: RNAcentral
AAGCAGGUCAAGAUGGCCGCCCCGGUGCCGCAGGCAUUGGGGAGGAAAGUCCGAGCUCCAAAGGACAAUGCAUCCCGUAACGCGGGACCGUCCGUCUGAAUUAUGGGGACAUGUACCUAAUUGAUCAAAACUAACGAAUUAGGUACGUGUCCCCAUAAUUCAGGCGUAUGAGGAUCAGAGCUACAGUGACGAUGCCUUCGCCGAUGGUGGGGGAGUGAAACGCGCAAUCUCUGCAUGGAGCAAAGCCAAAUAGGGGGAGAGGGCUGGUCCGGUCCGUUACCAUCCUCGGGUAGGCCGCAAGAUGCUCUGUCUGAAAAGCGGAGUGUUAGUCGAAUGGCCAUCCCCUGAACCGGCCACGAAGUGUUUGGUCUGGUUCAGGGAACAGAACUCGGCUUAUUUGACCUGCUAUAAA